This is a long non-coding RNA of Gallus gallus (chicken), 4649 nucleotides long. NCBI's taxonomy places the organism in Eukaryota, Metazoa, Chordata, Aves, Galliformes, Phasianidae. The record is from Ensembl.
UCACAAGAGGACACAUUCUUGCAACUUUUAUUUGCUGUAAUAUAAAUACAGGUAUUCUCAUUGCAUAUUUAUGCAUUUAGCAAUUUGGUAUGUUGAUGAUCUUUUGUAGCAACUCAUUUUUGCUUUAUUUCUUCUACUGUUGCAUGGAAAGGGACCUUUUAAAAGCCUUAUGCCUCCAUCUCUGGAUCCAGUUAUGCUUCAUCUGAGUUGAGAAGACCAAAACUAAAUCUGAUGGCCACUCUAAUUGUUUCUGUAUUUAUUUAUUUAUCUGAGUGUUGUGGAGGAAUAAUAGUGGCAAAAAAAAAUGACUACAUGCAAGCUGGUGAAUAUGAGAAGAAUAUUACAUAUCUAUGAGUUAUGGUCUACGUAACUGGUCACUGGUGAGUUGAGAGGUGAAUCUGCAUUGCCGACUGGUGCAGACAAUUGGUUCGAGUCUAAAAAUUGGGCUAGUUGAUACAGUGGUCUAAUAUAAGAGCUGUAGAUUAUUUUAAUGAAACUAAAGAGUCUAUUCUUGAAGAAAAUUGAUAUGCAUAAAAAUCAGAUCAAUUUUAUUAAUUGUCUGUCAUAAAUGAAAAUACUUUGUUGGCAAAAGCAGUAUGUCUGUUUAGUCUCAAAAUCUUAUUCGAAUACAUUUCAUAUUGGAAAAAAUUGGAAUUUUAUACAACUGCAAAUUACAGUCUUGAGAAGUUGAUUCAGCACCAGUACAAAUUACAUGUACUUUCAUUAGCAUUUGAAUAAACGCUUCAAUUCUAGUGGAAAAGAUUUGUCAAAUUCACAAAGCACUCAAAGCCAAUUGUGCUUCUUUAAAAAGAAUAGGUUUUACAAUUGAUUUAAAAACAGUAAUUUCGUAUGACUCAGUCAUUCAUGGAUAUUCAUUUCUAAGCUGCUUUGAACUGUAUUGCUUAGAUGAUUGACUGGACUCCAUCAUUUAUUUAUUUUUUUAAAUGCGUUUUAUGGUAACUUGGUAAAUCAGCAGGGCUCUUUCCAGUGCAUUCUAACAGGGUGAUCCUCAGGACUGACUUAUCUGUGAUGGGACGUGACAUUUUUGAACUAUGUUUCAGGUGUUGUGAGAGGACAAGUUCAAUUGUGCUCAAUUUAUGAACAUCAACAAGCAAAACUGUGGCGUAAGGAUUGCUGAGGCUGUGGACAGGGUCAGAUGCUGGGAUAGGUUACUGUGCAUACGUGUCUCUUGUACCGCUGUGUCUUCAUAUAAACUGUUCUAUCUUCCAGUUAAAUGCUAGCUCCCUUCUUCUGUCUUUUCUAGACUACCACAGCCUGAGAUGAAGAUGAUCCUGACUUUUAUUUAUUUAUUUAUUUAUUUUUGCUGGUGGGGACAGAUUCUUACAGAAUAAGUCAAUCUUUACGUCACCAGCACUCUCUUAUAAGAUGAGAAAGGAUCAAUUUAUAAGCUGCUUAAACUGUUUAGAUAAAAACUCUGUAACUCUUGGAAGAUGCUGUUUUGAAUGCGGAACCUUUCCUGUUUUCAUGUUGGAGUUUCUAAACCUGCUGGAAGGGGAUGACAUUGAUGCCAAUGGAAACCUCAGAUGCACAGGUUGAGGGUAGUACAUUUUUAGAUUUGCUUUGCCUAACAACCGAAGCAAACGCAGAAGGAGGAGAAAGAGAUCCUGUAUUUUUUUAUUUUUUUUUAAUAAAUAACUGAAUGUCCGGGAAUUUCACACAUGAGUUUUUAGAACAUUUGUUCCCAUGAAAAGCAGAAUGAUUUUUUUGUGUGUGUGCUUGAGAAUUCUAUGAAAAUAACAACAAAGUUAAUUCCUAAGUAGAAAUAAUUAUAUUUCUUCCCAGUACAUGAGUUUGUUAAAGCUCUUACAUCUCUGCACAAGGUAAGUAUUGCUUCUGAAGAUAAAUGGAAAUGUUUCUCAUAUUUUUAAAAAACUUUCUACAGAAGUCAAUUUAGAACUUGUAGGAAAUAAUUCUUUCAGCUGUUUUCAGUUGUUUUGUUUUAUUUUUCUUUGUUUUAGCGAGCUUUGUAAAAUGUCUUUUUCUUCACAUUCCCCCAGGAUCUUAAUUCAGUGUUUGUCUUCUUUACAGGUUAGACAUAUUUUGAAAUAUCAGUCUAGACAACUUUGUCUUUCAGUUUACACAGCUGUAUUUUACUGUUAAGGUACAUGUAGACCUUUGUUCACAGGAUGUCAACAGAAUACUGCCAAGAAAAAGAUAGCCACCAGGUAUUUCCCUCUAUUCACUUUGUGAUACUGAAAGAAUAUGAGAUUUUCUUUUACCAGAAAGAGACUUAGGAGUUCAUAAAUAUGAAAUAAAAAGAAAUGCGUGUUUGUGUAAACUACUGUACAGAUAGAAAAAAAUUGAAUUUCUCAUUCAUUGUUUCUUAUCGUGCCUGCAGCAUGAUAGAUGCUUGCAAAGACAUGAGCUAUGUUUCUUCAUCUAGUUCAUAUUAAUCUCACUAAGUGUAAAGGAUUUUAAAGAGCAAAACAUUACAAGCUGACAUUGGUGUCAAAAUAUCGAGGAAGAAGAAAACAUGUAAAUUCUGUAAGUAGAGAAGCAGAGUUAUCAUCCAGUGUUAUUAUUUACGCAUUCAAUCUGUAGAUUGUGAGUCUAUUCUAGAUUACUUUUGAAAGGUCAUGGUAACAGAUUGGUUCCUGAGGACUGGAGGAAAGCAAAUGUCACUCCUGUCUUCAGUGAGAGCCAGAUAGACCUGUGGCACCAUAGGGUAUUCAGCCUUACCUUAUGGGAAUGGUGGAGCAAACCCUUCUGGAAACCAUUUCUAAGAAUAAAAUAGCAUGUGGAGUUAGUCAUCAUAGAUAAAGGGGAAAUUGUCUGACCAAUGUGGUAGCCUUCUAAAAUGAAAAGACUAGCUUGGUGGAUCAGGCUAUCAGUGCAGCACUAGAUGAUGCUUUCUGGCAUUGGUAUCCAACCUUUUAGCCUGCCCAGUCCCCAUUUAGUGAAGCAGAAUUGUUUUGGGCCACAUAUAAAAUAUAUAAUAUAAUAAAUUAUGAAAGUAACAAAACUUCUUUUGUUUUUAAAUAUUUUCCAUUAAAACAUAAGAAGGCAACAAAAUUGUAAAAUUAGUGGGAUAUUUUACAUUGUUUUUGCAAAAAUUAAUGCAUCAGUGUCUGGUUUGAUUGAAUUGGUUGCGAUUCUUAGUGAGUUCUCAUGGUGCUUAUCAGAUGUUUUUGAUCUAAUUUUACUCUUCCUGUGAUUCAUCCUUGAAAAUAGUUGUAUACAAAUAUAUGAAAAGCGAUAGCAUGAAUAAGGCGUGAUUGUGAAUUGAGGGGUGUUUUUCCCUGGUAAGAAGUCCUAUAAAACUGGUCGAGAGACAUCAAAAUUUCGAGUUGAAUGAUUGCAGCUCUGUACAUCCCAUUUGAAAAUUUGCAGCUAAUACAUUCACUUCAGCAGUACACGGGGUUGCAAAUAUACCAAAAAAUUGAUUCUUUCAGCAUUCUUGAAACCUAUUCUCAAGUUCCUUUAUCAGAACGGAAAGUAUGGCUGCAUAUUUUUUGCUGUUCACAAAACUGUGUUUAGCCAACAUAUCAAAAUGCAUGAAAUUACUUGCCGUAACCUGAGCUUGCCAUAACGUAAUUUUCAUUUCAGAUGGUUUUACAGUUUGAAACACAGCAUGGGUAAGUUGAUUUUCACCUUGAAGAUAUAUGUGUAACUCAUUUAAAUGAGUGGUCAAAUCCUCCAGAAAUGCUUAAUCUGUGAACUAUUUUUGAUCUUUAUCUUCUGGCUCAGUUUUUCCUUUUGAUUCCUUAAAUGGCUUGAUUUCACUUCACAGAUCAUAAAAUCUCUUUACCAUUUUACUCCAACUUAGCCACCUUACUUCGAGAAAGCAAAUCAUGUCCCUGUAAUGAACUUCCAUACUUUUAUGGAACUCCUGGAUUUGGUUAUGAUUCAGUCCCUUGGACUUCAUGAAAUUUACAGCUUUGAUGACAAUGUAACCUGUGAUAUAUAUGGAUUUCAUGUAUACAUGAAAUGUGUGUAGUGGGUGUGAUAGUUGAGGUUAUUACCACACUGCACCCUCCCCUGCACACUAAUCCGUUGCCACCCUUGCAGUUUAUGCUUGGGUUACACACAGUCAACUCAUGAAAAACAUCACUGAAAAUCACACAGUAGUGUUAAAAGUUUACGAUCUUGUGGGGCUGCAUUACUAGCUGCCCAGGGUUGCAUGGGGCCUAUGGGCUACCAGUUGGACACACCUGCUUUAUGGUCUGCAGUCUGUUGUCCUAAUCCUCAAUGCUUUCUGAAAUGUUUCCAUAGUAGGAAAGGGGAGGAGGGAGAUGAUGGCAUCUCAUGGACUACUGCUGCAGUUCAUCUGCGAGAGUCAUUUCUCUUCCUUGGAUGAUUGUAUUAAAAAAUGAUCACUUGCAAAAUUGCUUAUACUUUGCAUGCCACAUUUCUUAACAAAACUUCAACAUAAAGUUCAGCAGUAUUUUUCCAUUAAAAGAUUUUCAGCAGCAGGUUGGGCACUGGCCUGUGGCAGCAUUUGUUUGGUGUUCUUGUUUUGUUUGGGCCAAAGCCAGAUUAAUCUCUUAAAAGAAAAUAUUCAAGAUACGGUAUGAACUUCUGCAAUUCAGUAUGUCCAGGCAAGUUCAUCCUCAAACAGAGAUAAAUUAAAAACAAACUGGUUGACUUACUGUGAGUCAGGCUGAAAAAAAAAUAAAAAAAUGCAUCCG